Long non-coding RNA from Dreissena polymorpha, 1094 nucleotides. RefSeq lists it as uncharacterized. The transcript is spliced from 3 exons. NCBI's taxonomy places the organism in Eukaryota, Metazoa, Mollusca, Bivalvia, Myida, Dreissenidae. The record is from RefSeq and is a predicted model, not a curated record.
CUUGAUGAAAUCUGGGUUGGGAUUGUAUUUGGGUCAUCUGGGGUCAAAAACUAGAACACUAGGUAAAAAUCUAGGGUCACUAGGUUAAAUAAUAGAAAAACCUUGUGUAGACAAUGGAGGUCGCAGUUUUCAUCCAAUCUUUAAGAAAUUUAGUCAGAAUGUUUAUCUUGAUGAAAUCUGGGUUGGGAUUGUAUUUGGGUCAUCUGGGGUCAAAAACUAGGUCACUAGGUCAAAUAAUAGAAAAACCGUCAACAAUUUGUUUGUGUAGACAGUAGAGGUCACAGUUUUCAUCCAAUCUUUAUGGAAUUUGGUCAGAAUGUUUAUCUUGAUGAAAUCUGGGUUGGGAUUGUAUCUGGGUCAUCUGGGGUCAAAAACUAGGUCACUAGGUCAAAUAAUAAAAAAACAUUGUGUAGACAAUAAAGGUCGCAGUUUUCAUCCAAUCUUUAUGAAAUUUGGUCAGAAUGUUUAUCUUGAUGAAAUCUGGUUUGGGAUUGUAUUUGGGUCAUCUGGGGUCAAAAACUAGGUCACUAGGUCAAAUAAUAGAAAAACCUUGUGUAGACAAUAGAGGUCACAGUUUUCAUCCAAUCUUUAUAAAAUUUGAUCAGAAUGUUUAUCUUGAUGAAAUCUGGGUUGGGAUUGUAUUUGGGUCAUCUGGGGUCAAAAACUAGGUCACUAGGUCAAAUAAAAGAAAAACCUUGUGUAGACAAUAGAGGUCACAGUUUUCAUCCAAUCUUUAUGAAAUUUGGUCAGAAUGUUUAUCUUGAUAAAAUCUGGACUGGGAUUGUAUUUGGGUCAUCUGGGGUCAGAAACUAGGUCACUAGGUCAAAUCAUAGAAAACCCUUGUGUAGACAAUAGAGGUCACAGUUUUCAUCAGAUCUUAAUGAAAUAUUGUCAGAAUGUUUGUCUUGUUAAAAUCUGUGUUGGGAUUGAAUUUGGGUCGUCUAGGGUCAAAAACUAGGUCACUAGGUCAAAUUAAAAAAAAUAAUUGUAGACAGUAGAGGUCACAGUUUUCAUCCAAACUUAAUUAAAUUUGGCCAGAAUGUUAAUCUUGAUGAAAUCUGGGUGGGGAUUGUAUUUGGGUCAUCUAUGGUCAA